UACAACAAUUUUUGAAAAAUCUUACCUAGUAAUUUCUUCUUCCCUGGGUCCCAAACACUCAAUUUAGCCUUUUAAGGGACAUGUAAGACAUACUAAAGGUAGGAGGAAGUUAAAUGGAUAUUUGAUUCAGAUACUAAUUUAAUGUUUAUUUUUUUCACAUUCUUCCCAGACGUUGUGUAGUCUUACCUGUGCCUAUGCUGUUGAUUCAGCUCUGAGCAUGGGAGCUGCGGGCUGGAUAUUUGUCACUUUCUGGGAAUAGCCUCUUUCCCCAGCAGGACUGUCACAGCUGCAUCACAGAAGCCGUGUGCCCUAGGCAGGGGCUCACUACAUGUUUGGCAAGGAUGACAAUGAUAAUACAAAGUGCUUGGGGCAGUGCUGACAGCCCAGCAUAAAUGAAGCUAAUGCCGCACCCGCCUCCUCCUUGCACCUGCGCUCCGGGCUCCCUGCUGGUCAGGCGAGAUCCCCUGGAGCGAUGCCCUUGGUGAGUGUCCUCUCCGGGCUGCUGGCUGCGCACAUCGCCCCUGAGCCCUGAAACCUACACCCUAGGAACUGAAGAGACUGCCGAGGGUCGUCGUGUUCCCAGCACACAACAGUCUCUGGGGGAGCGGAGCUUUACCAGGAGCUGAUGACUGAGCUUCCACUGUGGUUGCUUGCGCCCUGGAGCCGGAGGCAGAAUUGGGACCCCCUUCUCUGCUGAGGUGGAGGGUUGCCAGGACGCCUCCCUGCUCGGAGGAGCCAGAGAAGUUCUGCGACAGGUUGGGAGUCUGCUUCCAGGGGCGGGGAAGGGCGGGGGGCGAAGCACUGCAUGAGGACAUCUGCCGCCAGAGGCCGUCUUGCCAAACCCCCUGCAGACAUCUGUACCCCAGGCUGCCAGUCCUGACAGGCGGGCAGUCCUGACAGGCGGCCCUUCUUCCCACCCGUGAUUCCCUCUGGGAAGGGUGGCGGCAUCCAUCGGGCCAAUAAGCGCCUCUCUUCGUGCCUGUGUAUACUGGUGGAGGACUUGAAGUGCUUUCUAAAAAUAAGCUGGUUGCUAAGUUCUCCUAGUUCCAGAAGGAGCAGAUAAAGAAUGCAGGUCCUCUGGCUUGAAAUCUACCAGCCCGUCUCUUCUCCCCUCAGCCCGGCCCUCCCUGAGUCCACUGGGCUGGCCUGGUUUUCCUGCUCCCACACAUGCAUGCAAACCCUAGAUAAGAAUUUCCAGAGAACCCAACCAGCAAGAGCAAACCGACUGCUCACUCAGGCAGCGCGACGUGGCAGAGGGAGCGCCACCAAGGGAGCUGGCAGGCCGUGGGAUGAGCUGCGGGACCCAGGGCAAAGACCUGACCUCUGGAGCCUGGGUUUGCUGAUUCACACAAACAGUGGCUGACUCAUGCCACGUGGGAGAAGAAAGAAGAAGUGACACGUUGGCCGUUAUCUCAGAAACUACGGCGGAGACUCCCCCCGUGGGAAGGCACAUGCGUCAUCGCCGAGAGCCUGUUUGAGCACCAGGCCAAGAGUCACCGUGAAGCCCUCCCUGCAACCUGAGGCACAGCCGGCCCUUCCUCUCUGCACCCACUAUCCUCUGUCCACCCCGCCUGGAGCUUUGCUGGUGGGUUGUAAACGCACACCUGUCUGGAGACUGUGAGCCCUUUGAUGAGAAAGUUGGCCUAAUUCUGGUUAGCUCGGUGACAUCAAGACCUGCGUGUUCCCUAGGAAGCACGAGGGGAGAAAGUAAAAGAAAGGAACUUCUUACAGAAUGGCCUUCCUCUCUGUAAAGAGGAUUCAUUCUUCCACUCGAUACUCUGGGGGCGAGGAUUCCUGUGAUUAAAAACUCUGAGGUCAGAGCCACAGAAGCCAGGUAAGAAGAGAGUCCCUGGCCAAAGGGGAGUGAGCAAGAUCUGAGGGCUUAUGCCGACCAUGCUUCCAUUGCUUUCGUGUCACGAAUGAGGAAAAGGAGGCCCAGAGAGGUAAAGGGACUGGCCCAAGGUCACACAGCACAGCCGGAAUGAAGUCCUGGGAUUUUUCACUUUUCUUUUGCUGUACUGUUUGUGCCCAUCAAACCUCAGAAGCGGAUGGAUGCUUGUUACGAUAUUGAGCAGGGGGGAUGGGCUUUAACGUGUGUCCAGCUGCUCUGGGGAAGCUGCCGGUGUGAGCAGCCUUCUGCAGCGCGGCCUGUAGGUGCAGUGCAGCUUGCCCUGCUCCGGCUGUCUCAUCCUGCAAGGCCUCCGAAGCUUGCUCUGGGUGUGUCUUGGGCCUCCCUGACUGGGGACCAUCAGAGGCUGGUCACAUCCCCAGCCACAGCCUCCCGGGCUGUGGUCAGAAUCCAGGAGAAGUGGAGCUGCCGUUGAAAUCUGACAGCAGUCGCACGGCUGGACCUAUUUUUGGAUCAGGACCGACAAGGUUUAAACUUGAGCAUGCCAUCUAUCAGGGAAGCUGCCUGUCUGUCAGUGCCCGAGAGCAGACUGGGCAGGGGGUGCGCUGGGUCGGGGUGUUGGCGGGGAGAGGACAGCGGCCCCCAGACGUGCUCAGUGAGUCUGCCCUGCUCAGCUCUAUGUAGCUGUGCACCUUGGGGCGGCUCCCUCCCCUCUCUGGGCCCUGGAUUCCCCAGUGACGUAAGGGAGUCCACUGUAUGAUCACCGAGGCCCUUUCCAGCUUGGCCAGACUUCCAGCCUUGAGACAUAUCGAGAUUCGAAGCAGCCAGGCUGAGAAGAGCACUCCAGACACUUCCUCUUCCUCGGCCCUGCACCUGCAACCACUUCCUCUCCUGGAAUUUUCUGUUUUCUUCUCCGUCAGGACACCCGGCUUGUGUGGCUCUGCUUCCCUGCCUUCCUCAGGAGCCCACUGAUGCACAGGGUGCCCGGCUGCUGCUCGAUUCUGGGCCACCGUCUCUGGAGGGCACAGAACAGUGGGGUGAAGGGGAACCUCUCUGUCAAAGUCCUGGGCAACUGCCAGGCUGAAGGAAGGGCAGCGGCUGGCCCGUCCCUGUCCCCAGGGUCACAGUGUCGUGAUGCUCUCCUUCACAGCUGUCCUCCUCCUCCACCAUCCCUGGGGGCAGAAGGAAGCCCUGGAUGCCAUGGAGCAGAAGGGGAGGUGGCACAGCAGGGCCAGUCUCAGGAAGGGGAAGGGUGGCUCUUGGACGACAAGUCUGGAGACCAGAGCAGGACGCCCCCAGGACAGAAAGGACAGGCACACUGCCUGGAUCCCUGCCCCCUAGGAGAGUGGACACAAACCCGAGUGUGGGCACCUAGAGUGACUGCCCUAAAUAAGGAAUUGUUGUGACCCUCCCAUAUUUUACCUUAAAAAGCCAGUGCCCAGCACGUGACAGAUGCUCCGUACAUGUUUACUGAAGGCAUCAGAAUUCUGCAUGCGACUUGCAUCUUUUGCACAAUCCCCCAUUUGGGAGCCAAACUUAUGCUCUCUGGCGAUCCAGGACCUCUGGCAGCCUUGCUCUCAGCUCGUGCCUGGGCAGGAACUCGGCCCGGCUGAAAGCCUCUGGGCAAACUAUCAGUGUAAGCUAUUGCCUUGGCUUGUUGACCAGGUUCCAAAGGGCCUGCAGCAAGUCCCUUCUCCGUCCCUGGCUUCAGUUCCCAGUUCCCUGUGCGAGACGGUGCAGAGGUGGGGGGUGGGGGACGUGAGGUCCCAGCCAGCUCUGGGAGCUCAGCUGCCUGACUCAAUUAUACCUGGUGCGCCUGGAGGGACGUGGUGAAGUGAGCCCUGGGGAAAUGCUUGGGGAACAUGCAAAGCUCAUUAGGGGCAGAGCUCCGUGUGCCGAAGGAGCAGGAAUGAAAGAAGGUUCAGUACUUUGGGCCACUUCUGACCAUCUUUGGGUGUCUGGCUAUGACCAGAGGCUUGGAAAAUGGGAUCUUUGCAUUGCAAUUCACGUGUUAUCUGUAUUUUAUAAAACGAAAGCCAAAGUCGGCAUCGCGCUAUUUGGAGGCAUCCUUCCAUUUGUUUGCUCCUUCGUUAGAAAAACACUCAUGGAGAACUGACUACAGUGGCCAGGUCGGGGAGCUGAUCAGGAGACAGUGAAGGAAGCGGGAAAUCAUCACAAGUGAAAGGGGUGCAAUGACGGCAUGAGGAAAGGGUCUGGCCGGUUGCCACGGGACGCACUACCUGUCCCUCUGAUACACACGCUGUCGUAUGCAUGUCACCAUCUCUCCCUGGAGACUGUGCAGGACUGCACAGGAGGAUACAGGCUCAGCCAGGGGAAGUGACCUGCGCAAGAUCACGCAACCCCUAUCUUCUGACCCCAAAUGCAGGACUGCCUCCGUUACCCCACAGCCAUAGAUAGAACAUCAUGAGUCAAAGCCGUAUAGGCUUCCUUCAAUGAAUCACUUUUGCUUUGCUAAGCCGCUUUUGUUCCCACUUAAAAUAAUAAUCAUAAAAGCCCUGGCUUGCGUACUUUUGGUAUAAAGCUGAGUGGUCUAAGGGGCUUUAAGAAAAUGAAAAUGUUUAUGGAUAAACUGCAAGGUCCUACCGUAUAAUACUGUAUUCUUGCAAUAGCCGAUAAUGGAAACGAACCUGAAAAAGAACAGAUCUAUGUCUGAAUCAUUUUGCUGUACAUCUGAAACACUGUAAAUCAACUGCACGUCAAUAGAACAUUUUUAAAAAAGAAAAUGAGAAUAUUUGAAGAUUUUCACCCUCGGCCCUUCAUUGGGAGGGACCAUCAUUUCCAUUGCUUGCCAGACCCUUUACUC
Long non-coding RNA from Phacochoerus africanus (Common warthog), 4673 nucleotides. RefSeq lists it as uncharacterized. NCBI's taxonomy places the organism in Eukaryota, Metazoa, Chordata, Mammalia, Artiodactyla, Suidae. The transcript is spliced from 6 exons. The record is from RefSeq and is a predicted model, not a curated record.